Molecule: ribosomal RNA, 436 nt
Rfam family: Bacterial small subunit ribosomal RNA
ACGGGAGGCAGCAGUGGGGAAUAUUGGGCAAUGGGCGCAAGCCUGACCCAGCAAUGCCGCGUGAAGGAUGAAGGUCUUCGGAUUGUAAACUUCUUUGAUUGGGGAAGAAUAAAAUGACCUACCCAAAGAACAAGCUCCGGCUAACUACGUGCCAGCAGCCGCGGUAAUACGUAGGUGGCGAGCGUUAUCCGGAUUUACUGGGUGUAAAGGGCGCGUAGGCGGGGAUGCAAGUCAGGUGUGAAAUCUAUGGGCUUAACCCGUAAACUGCACUUGAAACUGUAUCUCUUGAGUGCUGGAGAGGUAGAUGGAAUUCCUUGUGUAGCGGUGAAAUGCGUAGAUAUAAGGAAGAACACCAGUGGCGAAGGCGAUCUACUGGACAGUAACUGACGCUGAGGCGCGAAAGCGUGGGGAGCAAACAGGAUUAGAUACCCUGGUA